RNAcentral lists this ribosomal RNA (482 nucleotides) under uncultured bacterium. RNAcentral describes it as "partial 16S ribosomal RNA". It matches the Rfam family "Bacterial small subunit ribosomal RNA", at positions 30 to 507 of the family's 1533-position model. The record is from RNAcentral.
AUUGAACGCUGGCGGCAUGCUUUACACAUGCAAGUCGAACGGUAACAGGCCGCAAGGUGCUGACGAGUGGCGCACGGGUGAGUAAUGCAUCGGAACGUGCCCAGUCGUGGGGGAUAACUACUCGAAAGAGUAGCUAAUACCGCAUACGAUCUAUGGCUGAAAGCGGGAGACCGUAAGGCCUUGCGCGAUUGGAGCGGCCGAUGUCAGAUUAGGUAGCUGGUGGGGUAAAGGCUCACCAAGCCAACGAUCUGUAGCUGGUCUGAGAGGACGACCAGCCACACUGGGACUGAGACACGGCCCAGACUCCUACGGGAGGCAGCAGUGGGGAAUUUUGGACAAUGGGCGCAAGCCUGAUCCAGCAAUGCCGCGUGCAGGAAGAAGGCCUUCGGGUUGUAAACUGCUUUUGUACGGAACGAAACGGCUCUGGUUAAUACCCGGGGCUAAUGACGGUACCGUAAGAAUAAGCACCGGCUAACUACGUG